AGUGGCAGACGGGUGAGUAACGCGUAGAUAAUGUGCCCUCUUGCGGGGGAUACCGUUUCAAAAGGAACGUUAAUACCGCAUAAUACGAUUUCGGGGCCUCUUGAGAUCGUCAAACUUCCGGGGCGGGAGGAGCAGUCUGCGUUCUAUCAGCUAGUUGGUGAGGUAAUGGCUCACCAAGGCUACGACGGAUAACUGGUCUGAGAGGAUGAUCAGUCACACUGGAACUGAGACACGGUCCAGACUCCUACGGGAGGCAGCAGUGAGGAAUAUUGCGCAAUGGGCGAAAGCCUGACGCAGCGACGCCGCGUGGAGGAAGAAGGCCUUCGGGUUGUAAACUCCUGUCAGUGGGGAAGAGAAUGGACGGUACCCACUGAGGAAACUUCGGCUAACUACGUGCCAGCAGCCGCGGUAAGACGUAGGGAGCGAGCGUUGUCCGGAAUUACUGGGCGUAAAGAGCUCGUAGGCGGGAGCGUAAGUCUAAGAGGAAAUCUCAAGGCUCAACUUUGGGGCUUUCUUAGA
This 519-nucleotide ribosomal RNA is filed under the name uncultured bacterium. Its description in RNAcentral is "bacterial SSU rRNA". It matches the Rfam family "Bacterial small subunit ribosomal RNA", at positions 94 to 630 of the family's 1533-position model. The record is from RNAcentral.